UUAAAAUGAGAGUUUGAUCCUGGCUCAGGACGAACGCUGGCGGCGUGCCUAAUACAUGCAAGUCGAACGCAAUCUUUUAACAAUGAGUGCUUGCACUCAGCGUUUUAAGUGCGAGUGGCGAACGGGUGAGUAACACGUGGGCAAUCUGCCCAAAAGUGGGGGAUAACACUUGGAAACAGGUGCUAAUACCGCAUCAACCGACUGACCGCAUGGUCGGUCGGGCAAAGACGGCGUCAGCUGUCGCUUUUGGAUGAGCCCGCGGCGUAUUAACUAGUUGGUAAGGUAACGGCUUACCAAGGUGA
Molecule: ribosomal RNA, 302 nt
Filed under: Ligilactobacillus pobuzihii
Lineage: Bacteria; Bacillati; Bacillota; Bacilli; Lactobacillales; Lactobacillaceae
Description: partial 16S ribosomal RNA
Rfam family: Bacterial small subunit ribosomal RNA
Source: RNAcentral